This is a long non-coding RNA of Gasterosteus aculeatus aculeatus (three-spined stickleback), 809 nucleotides long. Lineage: Eukaryota; Metazoa; Chordata; Actinopteri; Perciformes; Gasterosteidae. The record is from Ensembl.
GCAUUCUGCAGACAAUAUUGAUGCAGUCAAGUCUCUUUUGGAUCAAAUAAUAAUAUGUGUUGAUGAGGCAAAACAACAUCAUUUAUCAUUUGUGUCACUGGACAUACCUCAGGAUGAGAAGGAGAAACAAGAUAAAUAUUUUGAACAAAAGGAGAAGUGUUUUUCAAGCUUUAUUGAUGACGUCAAAGGCUGGUUAUCAAAUGCAGGCCAUUCAUAUGAACUUCCAAUUAAACCACCUGAUAAUCAAACUGAUAUUGGGCCUGAGGACAGUGUAUCCAAUAAAGGUUCUGCAGCGCGUUCAAAGGCUGGCUCUAAAUUGUCAAGGAUUUCAUCCAGUGCAUCUGCAAAAAUAUUAGCGCAAGCAGAGAGAGCAGCAUUACAGGAGCGCAUGGCUGCUCUAAAACAAAAGCACAGUUUGGAGGCGCAGGAGGAACAAAUAAGACUUGAACAAGAGGAAUUACGGAAGAAACGGGAACAUUUAAGGAGAGAAAAGGAACAUUUAAGGAGAGAAAAGGAACAACUUGCUCUGGAGGCAGAAUUAAAGAUAUGGAGAAUCCGAAGAUGUGAAGAUUCCAGUUUAAUGCUUAAGCUACAAUUAGAAAAUAGCUCCUUUGUGUUAAAGCUAAGGUUAAUUGUGGGUAAAGUACCGUUACAAUUAGGGGCUGGGUUGUUGGAGCUAUAUUUUUAUUUUUGUUUAUUUUGGGUUUAAGUUAAUUUAUAGCCUUACUUAUUUCUUUUUCUUUUCCUGUUAAAGUUAAUUUGGUGUAUUUUGUAUUUAUGCUUUACUCGUAUUGUCGUUUAUUGGUCAC